UAUCUGUAUUUUACUAUUUUUUUUUACAGGAUCUGGGAUACUAAAUCAAAUAAAGCAGUCACUACAAUCAAUACAAAGGGUGAGAAUAUAAACAUCUCUUGGUCUCCUGAUGGUAAAACUAUUGCUGUCGGAAACAAGGAGGAUCUCGUCACUUUCAUUGAUU
This is a long non-coding RNA of Eurytemora carolleeae, 163 nucleotides long. RefSeq lists it as uncharacterized. The record is from RefSeq and is a predicted model, not a curated record. NCBI's taxonomy places the organism in Eukaryota, Metazoa, Arthropoda, Copepoda, Calanoida, Temoridae. The transcript is spliced from 2 exons.